Molecule: long non-coding RNA, 103 nt
Organism: Octopus sinensis (East Asian common octopus)
Lineage: Eukaryota; Metazoa; Mollusca; Cephalopoda; Octopoda; Octopodidae
Exons: 3
Source: RefSeq, a predicted model, not a curated record
UGUGUGUAUGUAUUUUCAGUAUGUAAAUUCAGCCAAUAACUCGGGCUCUUUUUAUUGAGCCUGGUCGCAGUUCAUUUAUUUUCCUUCAGUGUCUGGCGGUCGU